Molecule: long non-coding RNA, 863 nt
Filed under: Medicago truncatula (barrel medic)
Lineage: Eukaryota; Viridiplantae; Streptophyta; Magnoliopsida; Fabales; Fabaceae
Description: long non-coding RNA (MTRU_LNC005938)
Source: RNAcentral
GGGCUUGAUACUUGUUGUUCUGAGGCGUGAGCAGAAAAAUCCAACAUAUGAAAGAGCAAAAAAAUCCAUUAAAAUUGGCAUUAGUGGUUUAUACCUAGAAAAUCAACAAUAAAAUCAUUAUUACAAUGUUUAGAGGUUUGCAAAAAUAAAAACAAAGUUAUCUUUAAGCAUCAGGAUCAAAUCAAUUUCCAUUCUUUCUUGAUAUCCAAAACAAAAAAACCAGAUCAAGGGUUUCACGUUGAGCUGCAAUCAUCUCACGCAUUUGUAAAGGCAAAUUAGCUAUUGUACAUAUUAGUGAACAAAUUAAUCAUGUUAGUUUCAGCAAUACCUGAUUGAGGGUUUGCGAGGAUUCAACUAUGGGUUCACAACGGAUGACGGGUUUGCGGAGGAUGACAUAUUCGCGGAGAAAGAUCAACGAUUUUGUGAUUAGUGAUGCAGAUCGAUGGGUUUUAACGGUGGAUGGGUUCGAGGGAAGGAUGGGUUCGCGGUGGAAGAAAAGAUAGGGUUCCAUGCGGUAAGAUGGGUUGGAGUGAGAGAAGGAAGAGAGAGAUAUAUACUUGCGGUUUGGAGACGGCGCGCGGUUUUGUGGUGGAGGAGAAGAGGUUUUCAGUUUUUGAUGGAGAAGAGCUACACAUACGAUUGCCUUUUGUUAGGUCCUUUUUUUUUUUAAUAUACUCCAAUUUGAUAAACACCAAACAUAGCGUUUGUAUAAAAACGCUAACUACCCCCCCUAAUAAUAGCGUUCAUUGCAAAGCGCUAUCUUUGCGAAGCUAAGUAACAGCGUUUACCUAGCUAAAAGCGCUAUUUAAUCCAUAUUUUUUAGUAGCUUUUCUUUAGCGCUCGACCAAAAAGGUUAUUAAAGG